This 374-nucleotide ribosomal RNA is filed under the name uncultured bacterium. Its description in RNAcentral is "bacterial SSU rRNA". It matches the Rfam family "Bacterial small subunit ribosomal RNA", at positions 524 to 898 of the family's 1533-position model. The record is from RNAcentral.
UACGAAGGGGGCUAGCGUUGCUCGGAAUUACUGGGCGUAAAGGGCGCGUAGGCGGAUCGUUAAGUCAGAGGUGAAAUCCCAGGGCUCAACCCUGGAACUGCCUUUGAUACUGGCGAUCUUGAGUAUGAGAGAGGUAUGUGGAACUCCGAGUGUAGAGGUGAAAUUCGUAGAUAUUCGGAAGAACACCAGUGGCGAAGGCGACAUACUGGCUCAUUACUGACGCUGAGGCGCGAAAGCGUGGGGAGCAAACAGGAUUAGAUACCCUGGUAGUCCACGCCGUAAACGAUGAUUGCUAGUUGUCGGGCUGCAUGCAGUUCGGUGACGCAGCUAACGCAUUAAGCAAUCCGCCUGGGGAGUACGGUCGCAAGAUUAAA